This is a long non-coding RNA of Mobula hypostoma (lesser devil ray), 2596 nucleotides long. RefSeq lists it as uncharacterized. The transcript is spliced from 3 exons. The record is from RefSeq and is a predicted model, not a curated record. Lineage: Eukaryota; Metazoa; Chordata; Chondrichthyes; Myliobatiformes; Myliobatidae.
UAAAACAUGAGAAAAAAACUUCUGGGAAUACAAAAUGAAGGCAAGAGGAAAGUUAUAUAUAAUUUGCAGAUGAUGCCAUCGGAAAACAGGAACAACAUCCAAUGAAAAACAUACCAAGCCAUGGAUUAAUGGCUAUCACAGAAUCCACAAUUCUCUGCGCGUAGCAACCGCUCAUAUUGAUUCUCCUGGCGGAAAGUGCGCAUGCUUCCCGGGGUCGCGGUGCAUUCUGGAAGCGCCUUGGGCCGGUCUUUUGUUGUGAGUCGGACUCAGUGGUAACAGGAGAAGAAACUAGGAAUUGGUGGGUAGGAUGGGAGAGGUGCUGCAGCGUAGAUUGAAUGAUACCGGGGAACUCAUGGACAGUCCGCCUGCCCCUGCCGCCCUGUUUAAAGACGUGAAGUCGCGCGCUCGACAUUGCUAAGAGCCACAGCCGCUCCGCUUUGUUUUUUUGUAGUCACAGUGCGCAUGCUCCACGUAGGGGGGCGGGGACUUUGGCGGCAAGCUGUUCUGCGCCUGCGCGUUUCCAUCUUUUACCUCUGGUACCCGGUGUUGGGUUGGGCGUCACCUGGGUGGUUCUUUGUGUUAAUGUUCAAUGAAUAGUAGCAAGGAUCGGCUCUUUGAUCCGUUUGCUAAUGAAUUACAGCUGAUCUUUUAGCUUACUAACUAUGAAGUACAGGAUUCGAUAGAUAAUAAAAAAAACAUUUACUGUACCAGUAAAAACCAGAAUGCACAGAUUUGAAGCGAGACGUAAGCAGUUUAGAGGGAAUCUAAGGAAUACUUUUUGAACCUAAAGGGUAGCUGGAAAUCUGCAAAGUACUGCCUGAGAAGAUGGUGAAGGCAGGUAUUACCAGCAUCUGGCAACCACUGUAAUUACUGAGGCAAGCUCAGCCACGCAUGGCGCUAUACACUUGACUGGUUGUAUUUCAUUAAGGAAAAACUCUCACCGCUGCAGCUUGGAAUUGAAUACAGUAAAGCACUUUGAGUAACGGAAAAUCAAAGAAAGAGGCAGAAACAGAUGCAACAAGUGUCAAAAAGGUGGAGAAGAGUAUUCCAUUACCAGCAGCAGCAUGAAUACAGAGAUGGGCUCUGUUUCUUGGAGGACACAAUUACAAGAUUGAAUUCAAGAAGGCAACUAGUCAUGGAAAUGCUGAUCGAUUGUCCAGUUACCCUUGAAAAAGGAAAUACCUGAAAAACUUACAAAAGAGGACAUUCUUCUGCAUGUGUUUUCCGUAAUGUAAAUUGAAAGUUUCCUUUUUGCGGCACAAAUGAUCCAAAGGGAAACCAGAAAAGACCCCUCACUGAGCCAGGUCUACAUAGCUGCCCAAAAUGCCUGGAAUGUGGAGCAGAGGUUCCGACUCCCCCAUUUUUACCAGGAUGAACUUGCCCUUGACGGAGGUUGCCUAAUGUGGGGAUUCAGAUUUGUUGUACCAUUUAAGCUGAGUGCUAAAGUGAUGGAGGAGUUACAUGUCGGUCAUCUCAGCAUGGUCAAAAUGAAACCAUUAGCCUGAAGUUCUGUCUAGUGGGCUGGAGUAGAUCAGUAGAUAGAGCAGCUUGCCAUGCACCGUUCUGGAUGCCAGUACUUCCCGAAGAUGCCAAGAGCACCACCUUUCCAUCUCUGGGAAUGGCAUGGAUUGCCCUGGCAGAGGAGUUAAGGAGAUUUUGCCAGACCAUUCAUGGGCACAAAUUUCUUGGAUGCAGCUACAAAGUGGCCAGAAAUGUUCCCAAUAGCCUCCAUUACAGCCUCACAACUUGUUGAUGUGGUGAGAAACCUUUCCUCAAGGAUUGGUGUUCCAGAAUACAUAGUCAGUGACAAUGGACCAUAGUUUGUUGCGGAACAUGUUUGGAAUGAGAGAUAUUACAUCUAUACUGUACCAUCCAGCUACAAAAGACUUGGUGGAAAGGUCAAAGAAACACACUGUGAGCAAUGUCAGCAGAACACUACACUGAAUCAGAAGCUCGCACAUUUCCUCUUUAUGUAUUGCUAUGCAAUACACUCCACAACCAACAACUCACACACUCUGCUAUUUCUGGAUUGCUCAAGCUUGGACCUUCUCAAACCCUGUCUCAGAAGGAGUAUGCAAGACAAGCAGCUGAGACAAUUUGAGGGCUCCUCAAACAAGGAGGUUUGAUUUUUCACUCUUGGACAAGCGGUCCUGGUGAAGUACUACAGAGGUGUUCAAAAGUGGGUACUUGGAAACAUUAAGGACAGACUGGACCACUCUCCUACACGGUGGAGAUUGCUUCUGAAGUCAUCUGGAGAUGACAUGUUAAUCAGUUGAGGAGAGCAAAGAGAAAAAAGGUGUCCAGAGCUGUCAGAACCUCUUCCUGCAGUCUCAGUGUCAACUCCUACAGCCACCAGAGAGAAAGCCCCAGAGCCUGAAAUGGGUUCACAGCCACAAGUCUUACCCGCCAAGCAGAGUGACCCCCGUCUCGAAAGGUAUCCCACAAGAGUAAGAAAUCCUGUACAGUGUUUAAAUCUUUAGGCCUGAUUGGGACAGUUUAAAAUUUACUAUGCUGCUGAUGUCUAUAUUGUAGUUAUAUAGUAUACUAUAUAAGUGUUUGUAGUUGAGAUGCAUCUUAUUUUGAGUUGAUAGCUAAA